Molecule: ribosomal RNA, 253 nt
Filed under: uncultured bacterium
Lineage: Bacteria
Description: partial 16S ribosomal RNA
Rfam family: Bacterial small subunit ribosomal RNA
Source: RNAcentral
UACGAAGGUCCCAAGCGUUGUUCGGAAUCACUGGGCGUAAAGGGAGCGUAGGCGGUAAGGUAAGUCAGAUGUGAAAUCUCGGGGCUCAACCCCGAAACUGCAUUUGAUACUGCUUUACUAGAGUAUUGGAGAGGUAACAGGAAUUCUCGGUGUAGCAGUGAAAUGCGUAGAGAUCGAGAGGAAGACCAAUGGCGAAGGCAUGUUACUGGACAAUUACUGACGCUGAGGCUCGAAGGCUAGGGUAGCGAAAGGG